RNAcentral lists this ribosomal RNA (253 nucleotides) under uncultured bacterium. RNAcentral describes it as "partial 16S ribosomal RNA". It matches the Rfam family "Bacterial small subunit ribosomal RNA", at positions 524 to 776 of the family's 1533-position model. The record is from RNAcentral.
UACGGAGGUUGCAAGCGUUAUCCGGAUUUAUUGGGUUUAAAGGGUGCGUAGGCGGGCCUGUAAGUCAGUGGUGAAAUCCUGUCGCUUAACGAUAGAACUGCCAUUGAUACUGCAGACCUUGAGUAUAGUUGAGGUGGGCGGAAUGUGUAAUGUAGCGGUGAAAUGCUUAGAUAUUACACAGAACACCAAUUGCGUAGGCAGCUCACUAAACUAUAACUGACGCUGAGGCACGAAAGCGUGGGUAGCAAACAGG